AGCAGCCGCGGUAAUUCCAGCUCCAAUAGCGUAUAUUAAAGUUGUUGCAGUUAAAAAGCUCGUAGUUGAAUUUCGGGGUUCUACCGUUGGUCGGGCUUUGUCUGUACUGGCGUGUAGAAUUUCUACCUUCUGGGGAACUAUCAUGUUAUUAAUUUAGCGUGGUAGGAAACCAGAACCUUUACCUUGAAAAAAUUAGAGUGUUCAAAGCAGGCUUAUGUCUGAAUACAUUAGCAUGGAAUAAUAAAAUAGGACGGUGGUCCUGUUUUGUUGGUUUCUGAAUCACCGUAAUGAUUAAUAGGGAUAGUUGGGGGCAUUAGUAUUCAAUUGUCAGAGGUGAAAUUCUUGGAUUUAUUGAAGACUAACUACUGCGAAAGCAUUUGCCAAGGAUGUUUUCAUUAAUCAAGAACGAAAGUUAGGGGAUCGAAGACGAUCAGAUACCGUCGUAGUCUUAACCAUAAACUAUGCCGACUAGGGAUCGGACGAUGUUAGCUUUUCCUGACUCGUUCGGCGCCUUACGGGA
RNAcentral lists this ribosomal RNA (520 nucleotides) under uncultured Scutellospora. RNAcentral describes it as "SSU rRNA". It matches the Rfam family "Eukaryotic small subunit ribosomal RNA", at positions 569 to 1095 of the family's 1831-position model. Lineage: Eukaryota; Fungi; Glomeromycota; Glomeromycetes; Diversisporales; Gigasporaceae. The record is from RNAcentral.